AUGAGGACGAGGAGAGGAGGAGGUAGAGGAGGAGGAGGAGGGAGAGGAGGAGGAGGAGGAGGAGGGAGAGGAGGAGGAGGAGGAGGAAGCCACGGUCACUUGGAAGCACCAGCUCCCGCAGAUCUCCAUCGCUGCAGCUUUGCAAGCAGCGCACUCACCCUCCGCGUCCGCCCAUUCUCUACAAGUUGCCUUUUUUUUUUUAAGUGGAGUUUUAGAAGGAAAAAAAGGUACAAGUAAAGAAUCUUUUCAAAUGCAAAUGUUGGUAGUAGGGAACAGGAGAAAAACAACCUUGGGAGACUGGUUCAAUCCUGAGCAGAACUGUUGAGUUCAGAAGGGUCUGACGGUGCAAAGAAGUAUAUUCAAUUGAGUGAGGAAACGAACAACAGGAAGCAUAUAGGCUCAAAUCCAAGGCAAGACAUAUUUCUUGAUAUUGGAAAAAGGGAAAAUGAAGUACAAAGGCUCUCUGCCCUCAACAAUAUUAUAUAAAGGAAGUUAUGUUCUGAAAAGUAGAAUCAAGCUGGUGCCAGGCAGGAAGAGGUAGGUGUGCGUGUUUUGAGAUGUGAAGAAUGGCUGUUAUCCAGAUGGCAGACAGGACGACUGAAGGAGGAAUCAGAAGAAUUCAAGACACGUUCUUCGUUUUGCCAAAGCAGCAGUCUAUCCAAGUUUACUCAAGAUUUAAUACUUUAAAUUUGAGGUGAAACUUUAAUUAUACAUUUGGAAUAUUUGAAAAUUAAGAUUGCCUGUAGUUAUAAAAAGAACAUCUGGAAAGAAAUAUGUAAGAAAAACCAUUACUUGUGCAAAUCCCAUAAGACAAAUUCAAUUUCUAUUUCAAAUUAAUAGCUUAUCUGUUAGUAACAAUUCAGCUC
This 866-nucleotide long non-coding RNA is filed under the name Canis lupus familiaris (dog). RNAcentral describes it as "lncRNA (ENSCAFG00030013242.1)". Lineage: Eukaryota; Metazoa; Chordata; Mammalia; Carnivora; Canidae. The record is from RNAcentral.